GUCUGAUCUGUGGGUCUGUGGUGUCUCUGGGUGUGUGGGUCUGAUCUUUGGGUCUGUGUUGUCUCUAGGGGUGUGUGGGUCUGAUCUGUGGGUCUGUGUUGUCUCUAGGGGUGUGGGUCUGAUCUGUGGGUCUGUGUUGUCUCUAGGGGGUCUGAUCUGUGGGUCUGUGUUGUCUCUAGGGGUGUGUGUACGGACGUAUGCAGGAGUAGUGGACAGUAAGACGUCAGAAGGCUGGCUGAAAACUCAGUCUGAGUCUGAUUCGUCGAGCAUGAGUCCGAUCCAGGAAGAGGCGGGGUCGGAGGCGGGAGACGACGCUAGUGAUCCGGCGACGGGCGAAUGGCAACAGCAGCCUUCAACCAUUCAGAGCAAGAAGAGCCGCAAGAACAACAGGAUGAGGAAGACUGAUGGUGCAGAGACGACGUCUUCUCUGUUCGACGUACCUCAGGUCUGGUAGCGAUGGAACCCGAGAUCCUGGCUCCUUACCACCUGGGUUCCUACUUCCUACCCCUGGCCACUUGACUCCUACCCCCUAGGACCGGGUUUGGAACGAGGCCUGAAGUUUCAACCAGCUGCACUUAUCUGACUGGCUGAGAGAAACGAAGCCAUAAAUCAUGAUAGGAGUCCUCAGCAUGUGGUAUAGCAGGAUAUUCUUUAGGAAAGAAAAAAACUGUCCCAAAUGGCACCCUAAUCCGUAUAUAGUACACUACUUUUAACUACGGCCAAUAGAGCUCUGGUUCAAACUAGUGCACUGUGGAUUAUUGUGUCCCAAAUAUUUUUUUCACUGCUUUUUUUGUUGUUGCUCGCACUGUUUUUCAUUUCUGAUUGAUUGAUAAAUCCCCUGUAUCGUGAUGGAUUAGGUAGUUACCACUCUGCAUGUUGUGGCGCUACUGACAGCUGUUCAGUACAGAGAGAACUCACACCCAGGCUCUACUCGCCUAACCCACCAGGCUCUGAAAUGGCAGCUUGAUCUCUGUUCCACUACUCUUAACCAGGGUCAAUAGCGCUCUGGUCAAAACUAGUGC
Oncorhynchus tshawytscha (Chinook salmon) is the source of this 1022-nucleotide long non-coding RNA. Lineage: Eukaryota; Metazoa; Chordata; Actinopteri; Salmoniformes; Salmonidae. The record is from Ensembl.